Molecule: ribosomal RNA, 301 nt
Filed under: uncultured bacterium
Lineage: Bacteria
Description: partial 16S ribosomal RNA
Rfam family: Bacterial small subunit ribosomal RNA
Source: RNAcentral
CAGUCGCCGCGGUAAUACAGAGGGUGCGAGCGUUAAUCGGAUUUACUGGGCGUAAAGCGUGCGUAGGCGGCUUUUUAAGUCGGAUGUGAAAUCCCUGAGCUUAACUUAGGAAUUGCAUUCGAUACUGGGAAGCUAGAGUAUGGGAGAGGAUGGUAGAAUUCCAGGUGUAGCGGUGAAAUGCGUUGAGAUCUGGAGGAAUACCGAUGGCGAAGGCAGCCAUCUGGCCUAAUACUGACGCUGAGGUACGAAAGCAUGGGGAGCAAACAGGAUUAGAUACCCCGGUAGUCCCUGUCUCUUAUAA